UCGCAAGCCUGAUCCAGCCAUGCCGCGUGAGUGAUGAAGGCCCUAGGGUUGUAAAGCUCUUUUGUGCGGGAAGAUAAUGACGGUACCGCAAGAAUAAGCCCCGGCUAACUUCGUGCCAGCAGCCGCGGUAAUACGAAGGGGGCUAGCGUUGCUCGGAAUCACUGGGCGUAAAGGGUGCGUAGGCGGGUCUUUAAGUCAGGGGUGAAAUCCUGGAGCUCAACUCCAGAACUGCCUUUGAUACUGAGGAUCUUGAGUUCGGGAGAGGUGAGUGGAACUGCGAGUGUAGAGGUGAAAUUCGUAGAUAUUCGCAAGAACACCAGUGGCGAAGGCGGCUCACUGGCCCGAUACUGACGCUGAGGCACGAAA
This 366-nucleotide ribosomal RNA is filed under the name Bradyrhizobium sp. Oc1. Its description in RNAcentral is "bacterial SSU rRNA". It matches the Rfam family "Bacterial small subunit ribosomal RNA", at positions 375 to 758 of the family's 1533-position model. Lineage: Bacteria; Pseudomonadati; Pseudomonadota; Alphaproteobacteria; Hyphomicrobiales; Nitrobacteraceae. The record is from RNAcentral.